Molecule: ribosomal RNA, 382 nt
Filed under: uncultured bacterium
Lineage: Bacteria
Description: bacterial SSU rRNA
Rfam family: Bacterial small subunit ribosomal RNA
Source: RNAcentral
GACGAACGCUGGCGGCGUGCUUAACACAUGCAAGUCGAGCGGUAAGGCCCUUUCGGGGGUACACGAGCGGCGAACGGGUGAGUAACACGUGGGUGACCUGCCCUUAGCUCUGGGAUAAGCCUGGGAAACUGGGUCUAAUACCGGAUAUGACCUCAUGACUCAUGUUGUGGGGUGGAAAGCCUUGUGCGGCUAGGGAUGGGCCCGCGGCCUAUCAGCUUGUUGGUGGGGUAAUUGCCUACCAAGGCGACGACGGGUAGCCGGCCUGAGAGGGCGACCGGCCACACUGGGACUGAGACACGGCCCAGACUCCUACGGGAGGCAGCAGUGGGGAAUCUUGCGCAAUGGGCGAAAGCCUGACGCAGCGACGCCGCGUGAGGAUGAC